UACGUAGGUGGCAAGCGUUGUCCGGAAUUAUUGGGCGUAAAGCGCGCGCAGGCGGUUCUUUAAGUCUGAUGUGAAAGCCCACGGCUCAACCGUGGAGGGUCAUUGGAAACUUGGGAACUUGAGUGCAGAAGAGGAAAGUGGAAUUCCAUGUGUAGCGGUGAAAUGCGUAGAGAUGUGGAGGAACACCAGUGGCGAAGGCGACUUUCUGGUCUGUAACUGACGCUGAGGCGCGAAAGCGUGGGGAGCGAACAGG
This 253-nucleotide ribosomal RNA is filed under the name uncultured bacterium. RNAcentral describes it as "partial 16S ribosomal RNA". It matches the Rfam family "Bacterial small subunit ribosomal RNA", at positions 524 to 776 of the family's 1533-position model. The record is from RNAcentral.